GGAGGCAGCAGUGGGGAAUUUUCCGCAAUGGGCGAAAGCCUGACGGAGCAAUACCGCGUGCGGGAGGAAGGCCCUUGGGUCGUAAACCGCUUUUAUCAGGGAAGAAGUUCUGACGGUACCUGAUGAAAAAGCCUCGGCUAACUCCGUGCCAGCAGCCGCGGUAAUACGGAGGAGGCAAGCGUUAUCCGGAAUUAUUGGGCGUAAAGCGUCCGCAGGUGGUAUUGUAAGUCUGCUGUCAAAGACAGAAGCUCAACUUCUGAAAGGCAGUGGAAACUGCAAAACUAGAGUACAGUAGGGGUAGAGGGAAUUCCCAGUGUAGCGGUGAAAUGCGUAGAGAUUGGGAAGAACACCGGUGGCGAAGGCGCUCUGCUGGGCUGUAACUGACACUGAGGGACGAAAGCUAGGGGAGCGAAUGGGAUUAGAUACCCCAGUAGUCCUAGCCGUAAACGAUGGAAACUAGGCGUGGCUUGUAUCGAC
This 477-nucleotide ribosomal RNA is filed under the name Spirulina subsalsa. RNAcentral describes it as "bacterial SSU rRNA". It matches the Rfam family "Bacterial small subunit ribosomal RNA", at positions 344 to 836 of the family's 1533-position model. Lineage: Bacteria; Bacillati; Cyanobacteriota; Cyanophyceae; Spirulinales; Spirulinaceae. The record is from RNAcentral.